This 253-nucleotide ribosomal RNA is filed under the name uncultured bacterium. RNAcentral's name for it is "partial 16S ribosomal RNA". It matches the Rfam family "Bacterial small subunit ribosomal RNA", at positions 524 to 776 of the family's 1533-position model. The record is from RNAcentral.
UACGUAGGGGGCAAGCGUUGUCCGGAUUUAUUGGGCGUAAAGAGCGUGUAGGCGGCUUUACAGGUCCGUUGUGAAAACUCGAGGCUCAACCUCGAGACGCCGGUGGAAACCGUAAAGCUAGAGUCCGGAAGAGGCGAGUGGAAUUCCUGGUGUAGCGGUGAAAUGCGCAGAUAUCAGGAGGAACACCAAUUGCGAAGGCAGCUCGCUGGGACGUUACUGACGCUGAGACGCGAAAGCGUGGGGAGCAAACAGG